AUGGCCUGCGAGUUCAUCUUGCGCCUCGAUGAAGCCCAGGAAAGGCGCCAGCUCUCACCGGCCGAACGCGACCUGCGCAAGAGCCUCAAGCUCAGGUUGCUGGGGCUGGCAGCGAUCAAGCGCUGCAGGAAGAGGCAAGCCUCUAGGCUCACCUGGCUGCGCUCCGGCGACGCCCCAACAAAGUUCUUCAUGGCAAAAAUCUGCUCGCGAAGUAGAAAGAGCUUCAUACAUUCUCUGAAGAUCAAUGAGACAGUGGUCACGGCGCACAGCGACAAAGAAGCAGCCAUUCACAACCACUUUGACAGCAUGCUAGGCUCUACAAAGCAGCGAUCAACUACAAUAAACUGGGGGCAAAUUCACAUGCCAACAAUCCAAGGCGGU
This 381-nucleotide ribosomal RNA is filed under the name Triticum aestivum (bread wheat). Its description in RNAcentral is "partial small subunit ribosomal RNA". Lineage: Eukaryota; Viridiplantae; Streptophyta; Magnoliopsida; Poales; Poaceae. The record is from RNAcentral.